GACAGAGGUGCCGAGCGUUAGGCGGAAUCACUGGGCUUAAAGCGUGUGUAGGUGGAUGCCUAAGUACCUUGUGAAAUCCCACGGCUUAACCGUGGAACUGCUUGGUAUACUGGGUGUCUUGAGCCAGCUAGGGGCUACCGGAACAAAUGGUGGAGCGGUGAAAUGCGUAGAUAUCAUUUGGAACGCCAAUGGUGAAAACAGGUAGCUGGGGCUGUGCUGACGCUGAGACACGAAAGCCAGGGGAGCAAACGGG
Molecule: ribosomal RNA, 253 nt
Filed under: uncultured bacterium
Lineage: Bacteria
Description: partial 16S ribosomal RNA
Rfam family: Bacterial small subunit ribosomal RNA
Source: RNAcentral